Molecule: ribosomal RNA, 795 nt
Filed under: Fenestrulina specca
Lineage: Eukaryota; Metazoa; Bryozoa; Gymnolaemata; Cheilostomatida; Microporellidae
Description: partial 16S ribosomal RNA
Rfam family: Bacterial large subunit ribosomal RNA (bases 316-552)
Source: RNAcentral
AAUGAGCUACUUUUUUUUCCAUUAAGAAUCAAAAUUAAAUGUUACAAAAUUUUUCGAAGAAAAAAAAGUAGAGAUUAAAUGUCUACGCAUUUACGGAUACCUGGUUACUUUCAAAGGUAAAAUUACCAACUAUUUUUUAGUAAAUUAAUUUUAGGACAAGCUAAAGUUAGCACACGAAAUAUACAGCCCAAUUUUUUAUAUUUUUUAGGCCUAGAAAUAGCUUUCAAAAAAACUGUAAUAUGAAAAUAUAUUUUUCAAACAAAUUCUAUUAAUAAUAAUCUAUCACAGAAAGUAAUAAUAAACUAUAUUUUUAUUAAUGAAAAUGGUAAUAUGAGUAUGUAUAUAUUUAAAAAUAUUUUAGAUUAGAUUCUUUAAAAAGGAACUCGGCAAACAAGGCAACGACUGUUUAACAAAGACAUAGCUUUUAGAACCUAUUAAAAGUCAUUCCUGCCCGGUGUAAAUAUAAACGGCCGCGAAAGUGCUAAGGUAGCAAAAUAAUUUGUCUUUUCAUUGAAGACCAGUAUGAAUGGAGCAACGAAGCUUGACUGUCUCCUUAAAGUCAAAAAAAAUUAAUUUAUGAGUGAAAAAUCUCUUAUUUUUAUGAAGGACGAGAAGACCCUAAAGAGUUUUAGUAAAGUUAAUAUUAAUAUAUAAUAAUACUUUUAUUGGGGCAAUAUAAGAACACACAAAAUCUUUUAACAUAAGACCUCAAAGAGAAUAAAACAAACUACCUUAGGGAUAACAGCGUAAUUUUACCAGAGAGAACUUAUCGAAGGUAAAGUUUGCGACCUCGAU